This 584-nucleotide long non-coding RNA is filed under the name Homo sapiens (human). RNAcentral's name for it is "HSALNT0327263". Lineage: Eukaryota; Metazoa; Chordata; Mammalia; Primates; Hominidae. The record is from RNAcentral.
UCCAAAUUCUGUGAUGCUAAGACCUAAACAUUCCUCAAUCUAUGAUUCCAAUGGCUCUUAACAUCUGUAUUUAAAAUUCUUUGCUGUGUUUUUUUCCCCACCCUUGACUGUGUAGAAAGAAGUCUGUGCCACAAUUUCUAGGAGAACUUAUUUAUUUCAAUUUGUCCAGUUACAGACUAAGUAUAAAGAAUGUUGGGGGAAAACCUGGUGUGAGUUUCACUCCAGCACUAGUUGGAACAGACAUGUGAACUAAUUUGGAUUCCUAACGGCACAAGAUCAAGGCUGGUUGCUGAUGGAGAACUGUGAAUCUAAAUAGGAAGACAGACCAGGCCAUAUUCAAAGGAAAAGAUGUGUCCUCUUCCCAGAAAACUAUAAAUCCAUAAAUGGAAAGUGAAGGUGUGAUUCGCAAAGUGAUCUUGAGAAGCAUUUUAAAUGUCCUUCUCAAAAAUAUUAAAUUUAUUGGUAGAAAUCAGAAGUUUUGAGGUCCGUAGACACAGUGGUAGAGGCCAAUAGAAAAAGCCAAGAACAAACACGGCUAGUUAUAAAAGAAGUUUAGUGUCCUGCAAUUUCAGUAAAAACCUAAA